This is a long non-coding RNA of Cyprinus carpio carpio, 1637 nucleotides long. The record is from Ensembl. NCBI's taxonomy places the organism in Eukaryota, Metazoa, Chordata, Actinopteri, Cypriniformes, Cyprinidae.
CCGGGUGUGUGUUCACAGUGUGUGUGUGUGUUCACUGCUCUGUGUGUGUGCACUUCGGAUGGGUUAAAUGCAGAGCACAAAUUCUGAGUAUGGGUCACCAUACUUGGCUGAAUGUCACGUCACUUUCACUUUUUUUUAGUGCUCCAUGCACUAAUGCCACUGUAUUAAGUUCCUCUCUAUGUUUCCUUUUAACCAGACUCAUUUGCCUCAGAAUGUGCAUGCAAGCACCUCUUUACAUAAAGUUCUCACACACUGGUCACUAUGGGUUGAGCGGGGUUGGGUAGAUAAAUACACAUGUAUGAGAAUUGGGAAGGGUGAGACCAAUUCUGCAUGGAUACACCGAACAUCUAUUAUACAGUCUCUGGGCCAUAGCCCCAACAACAAUCGAUCAUGUCCCAAUCAGCCUGUAAGGAAUGAACAACCAACACCAACUGAGACAAUAGUGGAAAGCUGCAAGACGAGAACAACAAGCAACUCCACAUUUGAUAUACGAGAAAUACUUAGAAAAUCUGGAGGACCAGCGUUAAUAACAUCCUUAGAAAGGGACAGGCACCUAAGCCUCAAGGAGAGACGUCAGAUGGUGCGGUUGUUGGUUUCUCAUUUGAUGGAAAGAUUUGGGAAAAACCCAACAGCUGAGAUCAAAAAGGAGAUGGCUCUGGCGCUAACUUGCCAGUUUCCUUGUCUGAAAAAUAGUGAGGGACAUGGAUAUGAGGCAUGGUAUACACCUGGUCGUUAUCUUCACCCUGUAACUGGGUAUUUAGAAGAAAGACUGCCAGCCACAGUAAUCUCAGAAUUCCUCUUCUCGACCAAGUUUUCCACUGCCAGAGUCUGAGUUGUCUUUGACUGACAUUCACACAAUGAUUGAGUGGCUAAAGAACAACAGAAGCGCUCACAGUCAAGUGGAGGAGUUCAUGAAACGUACAGCACCCCCAUCGGGCUGCAUGGAUUCGAACUUCUGGAACAAAAACUAUUGAGGAAAUCAACAGAGAAUAUCCUAGACUUUGUGACAUUCCUGGAAUGGCGAGUAUAAUGAUAUAUCGCAGGACUUUAAAGUUAUAUUCCCUGACCAGGCGGACCGCCUUUAUGAAUUCUGGGCUCCUGUCAUCACUGACCGGAUUUUACUCUUUGCAAAGAAAGAACCCAAGGCUUCAGAUGUUCUUCCAGAAAAUCUGGAAACACUGGCAAUAGGUGUUCGUGCAGAAAUUGCCUUUAAAACCCUUCCUGCCAUCCUGCCAUCUUCACCAUACCGCACAAAUGGAAAAAUGGUGUGCCCAACAUACACAGAAAUGAAGCAGUCCUUCAUUGACAUUCAACCUGUUGGCACUAAUAUAGUGCAGUACUUGAACCACGAGGCAAGCCAGAAUCCACAGGUCCUGGUGCUUGGUGACAAGGAAGACUCUUCCCAAGUUUUUAUUAUUUUCAACGGGGAGGCGAUGGAACAGGAGACACUACUACAAGCAGUCGAUCUGUGUUUCAAACUUUUCUUUGUAUAUGACAUCAACUACCCAAAGCCCUCUGCUCCCAUUUGGGAGUUUUUGGAGCACACAGUCUUUAAUAUUCCAGGUGGAGUUCCUUCUGCACACUGCCUCCUCCUAAAAAACUUUGUAUUUAGUAAUCAGUAAAAAAAAAAAUUAUUU